AUUGAACGCUGGCGGUAUGCUUAACACAUGCAAGUCGAACGGUAACAGGUCUAGCUUGCUAGAUGCUGACGAGUGGCGGACGGGUGAGUAACGCGUAGGGAUCUGUCUAGGGGUGUGGGACAACUCGGGGAAACUCGAGCUAAUACCACAUACGUUUUAGUAUGUAAAAGUUUAAAGAAAGGCGGGUAGCAAUACCUGUUGCUCUUAGGUGAACCUGCGUUGGAUUAGCUAGUUGGUGGGGUAAAGGCCGUACCAAGGCGACGAUCCAUAGCUGUUCUGAGAGGAAGAUCAGCCACACUGGGACUGAGACACGGCCCAGACUCCUACGGGAGGCAGCAGUGGGGAAUAUUGGACAAUGGGCGGAAGGCCUGAUCCAGCAAUACCGCGUGUGUGAAGAAGGCCUGUGGGUUGUAAAGCACUUUCAGCGAGGAGGAAGGUUGUAUGGUUAAUACCCAUGCGAUUUGACGUUACUCGCAGAAGAAGCACC
RNAcentral lists this ribosomal RNA (487 nucleotides) under uncultured bacterium. RNAcentral describes it as "bacterial SSU rRNA". It matches the Rfam family "Bacterial small subunit ribosomal RNA", at positions 30 to 494 of the family's 1533-position model. The record is from RNAcentral.